This 253-nucleotide ribosomal RNA is filed under the name uncultured bacterium. RNAcentral's name for it is "partial 16S ribosomal RNA". It matches the Rfam family "Bacterial small subunit ribosomal RNA", at positions 524 to 776 of the family's 1533-position model. The record is from RNAcentral.
UACAGAGGGGGCAAGCGUUGUUCGGAAUUACUGGGCGUAAAGGGCGCGUAGGCGGCCUGCUAAGUCGAACGUGAAAUCCCUGGGCUCAACCCAGGAACUGCGUCCGAUACUGGUGGGCUUGAAUCCGGGAGAGGGAUGCGGAAUUCCAGGUGUAGCGGUGAAAUGCGUAGAUAUCUGGAGGAACACCGGUGGCGAAGGCGGCAUCCUGGACCGGCAUUGACGCUGAGGCGCGAAAGCUAGGGGAGCAAACGGG